Molecule: long non-coding RNA, 269 nt
Filed under: Carica papaya (papaya)
Lineage: Eukaryota; Viridiplantae; Streptophyta; Magnoliopsida; Brassicales; Caricaceae
Description: long non-coding RNA (CPAP_LNC003321)
Source: RNAcentral
AGAAAUAAUGCUUGUCAUGAAAAAUGAGGGAGGAGGGCCUCCUCUGCCGUCGACAGCACAUUGUCCGAGGUGGCAGUGCUCUGGCCGACUCGCUGCAGGCUAGCUUGCAGGUGUGCAGGUCUCUUGCCGCGUACACAGGACUAUUGUGCAUAGGCCCUAGCGCACAGGGCCUAUCUGUGGAGGCUUGUUGCGUAGACGACACAUGCACAGUGUGCGAUGCCUUUUCGCGCGCAAGGUGAUGCUUGGACGGCCUGUUUGUGCGCGAUAGC